Molecule: long non-coding RNA, 336 nt
Organism: Quercus robur (English oak)
Lineage: Eukaryota; Viridiplantae; Streptophyta; Magnoliopsida; Fagales; Fagaceae
Exons: 2
Source: RefSeq, a predicted model, not a curated record
AGAUCGGAAGGGACAGAGGGCACGACGACUGUCUAUGGAGCUCGCCGAUCGGCCCGAUUUAGCACCAGCAAGGGAUAGAGGGCAGCAGGCAAAGGGAGGGUUGGGCUAUGGGUUUCAACUUUCACGAUUACAAAGAAUAGCAUGCUUGGGGACUUUUCCUGAGGUUGUGCACAUGAAAGGAGAUUAGGAACUUUUGGGCAAGAUGAUAUUGUAAUAAUUGGUAUUUCUUUUUGUUGAUUAGUAUUAAUGCUCAUGAAGUUUGGAUUGUUGCUUCUAUUGGUAUUUUAGAGAUCUUUUAACAAUUGCAUAAUUAAGGAUAUUUUUGGAUUUGUUUGA